Long non-coding RNA from Meriones unguiculatus (Mongolian gerbil), 1733 nucleotides. RefSeq lists it as uncharacterized. The record is from RefSeq and is a predicted model, not a curated record. NCBI's taxonomy places the organism in Eukaryota, Metazoa, Chordata, Mammalia, Rodentia, Muridae. The transcript has 3 exons.
UGUGUGUGUGUGUGUGUGUAUGUCUUUGUCUCUCUUCCUUUUUUUUCAAAGAUGCUUUGUGCAUGGUCUUUAAUAGUACAUGACAUCUUUUUAGGACUUGCUUUGUAGACCUGGCUGGCCUUGAACUCACAGAGAUCCGCCUGCCUCUGCCUCCCUGAAUGCUGGGAUUGCAGGCCUCCCCCCCCUCCCCCCCCCCCCCCCCCGGCUUGGCUCAGUGUGAAACAUCUUUAGCUGAAGGGGUUAAAAAGAACCGGAAACCUGCUGCUGGGGCUACACCGGGUGGACUCGCUUGUGGGGCCUACCCUGUGUGUAGUAGGAUGUUUAUUUCAAAGCAUCCCCGACCUCAGAACUCAGCAGAGGAGGUCGAUGCUCCCUAGCCUGCCCUGCGCUGUAACAAGCAGGCACUUCUCCAAACUUUGGCGAACGAUCCCGUCUUCAAGUGAUCCCAAAGGCAGCGGAGCUAGUGAAGAGCUGCCACCCGCGGCGUUGGGAGAGGGGAAGGAGAAGAAGCCGGAAUUGCUUAAAUUAGCGUUCUGCUGAUGCCGCUCUCGGCACCGCGCACAGUGAAGCCGGCUCUGCCGGUGCUGCCAAAACUGCAAACCGGACUCCAUUGCGGUUUGUGGGACGAAUCUGCACGCGUCAAAGUCCGCCGCCCUGACCGCUUCGGCCUUCCUCGAGCGCCCCCUGCAGGCAGAGCCAGGCAAGCCCCUUGGUUGAGGGGUUAGACCAGAAUGGGCUCCAGGAGAGACUCUCCGCUGAGGUCGUUCAUGCAUGAUCACGUGUGGUUCUCAGACUUUAAAGAGUUAGCUAACCACUCACCCGAGGCAGAGCUGGAACUCUCCGCAGGGCUGGAGGAAGAGCGCGGCAAGUUUGCAUGUACGCCAGUGGACAGCAGGAAGUCUGGAGAGCAUGACUGGUAUGCAGGAUAUCUGACAUGCCGCCUCUUCAAAGGCGCACAGACCCACAGGUUGAGAACCACUGGUCUAUCCCAUGGAGUGUUUCAGGACCCACACAGAGGCUGUUCUGUCACUAACGAAGACUGAAUGGCUUCACUGAGACACCAAAGAAAAGAAUUGUGGGAGAGUAUAUGACCAAUGUGAUUAUGGAGUGGAAGAGCCCGUUAAAAGAAAAAUGAACCAACCAAAAAGUCUCCAAAUGCUUGGUUAUUUCAAAAAGGAAAAAAAAUAGUUUAUACUGUGUAAUUACUAUAUUAAUGUAACUAUUUUAUUGUAUGUUUUUCAAAGUAUACUUAUAGUAACUUAAGUCAUAAAAAUAAAUGGAAACUUCCUUUCUUUUCUUUUCCCCAUACCUCUUUGAGACAGGCUUCUAUUAUGUAGCCAAGGUGGCCUCAAACUCAGUCAUUUUUCCAGCAUAUCUCUUGAGUGCUGAGAUUACAGGCAUUCAGAGCUAUUCAUGGUUUAUAUAACCCUUUCCAUCAGCACCCCAAUACUAUAAUCUUUAUAAUUAGAUUUAAUUUUCUUACUAAUGGAGUAAAUUAUCUCGUUUUCUGGUUAUAUUUUAAAUCCUCCACUUAAACAAAGCUUCUAGCUCUGUUUCCAGUUCUCACCUUAAUCUUGAACCUGAAAAGAUCUUGGGGACCUGAACUGAGUGAUACUAAGUGUUAAUGAGGAGAGAUGCAGAUGUGAAAAUUAGUUAUGAGAUGGAUAUAAGAUAUGUUGUUCUAUUCCUGCUGCUAAAGAUUUAUAUUUAUAAAGAGAAGUUUGUUUAUAUUA